RNAcentral lists this long non-coding RNA (949 nucleotides) under Salmo trutta (river trout). Its description in RNAcentral is "lncRNA (ENSSTUG00000037557.1)". The record is from RNAcentral. Lineage: Eukaryota; Metazoa; Chordata; Actinopteri; Salmoniformes; Salmonidae.
ACAAAACCCAGAGAAAUGCAUAUGCUUGUCUAGUCUUAGGCUAAACACAAUGGCAGCAUUAGCACGUCUGUUCUAUUCACUAUCUGUCUCUCCCUUUCUCUCUCUCGCUUCUCUGUCUCAGUAGGCAUGGGUGUGAGUGGAGGUGGCAGAAGGAGAGGGCUGAGGCGGGCAGCAGGUGGACCUGGCUACAGCUGCGUGUGGCAGAGCUCGAGGGACGCAUCCAACAGCUGGAGGACCUGCACAAACAGAUCACCUUCACCAAGGGGGGUGUGGUCUUGGCAGAGUCGCAGCCGUUGACGGACAGGCAGAUCCAGCAGACGUUACUAACGGAGACAGCAGGGCUGUCGUUCAGGGCGGGGGGGACCGCUAGAGACCCUCCCUCCAACAUGGAGAACGAACCCAGCAGCCCCACACGCCUCCUCAGGAACAUACAGAGACAGUGGCCUGCUCCUGGGAGGAUGUGACCCCUUCUCCCAGAAGGGAUCCAAGAGGAGGAGAGAGAACCGCAGGAGGCCGCACUUCCUCCAAGUGGAUGCCACCUGUGUCUCAGCCCGCACACGACCCCUGGUGACCUAUCACAAACCUCGACUCUUCAUUAACACCACCCACAGACAGCAGGACUCAGCCUCCCUUUCCUCCUCCCUCUGUCCCACCUUUGUGUCCUGUGACCCCCUGGCCCUGUGUUCUGACCCAGCCUGUUCCUCCGGCAGCACCCUGAUCUCCAGGACCAGUGGCUUUAGGACACUCCCGGUUCUCUCUCUCUCCUCAGAUAGCCUUCUGUCCCACCACCUCCAGAAUGCUGCCCUGCUCAGAGAGGACUGGGUCCAGUGACCUCUACUACCCGUCAAGACAGAGUCCAGUCAUGUCUACUACCACCACAUCUAUAUGGACAGGGGACACACUUGUCCAUCAGGGUUCAGUGAGUGGCAUCUAAUAGACUAUUACUAAU